CUGUCAGUGUCCCAGAAAGACAACAUUACCAAAUUAAACAUGCCUGUGAUAAGGAGUUUUGAGCUCUUAAAGCCUGUAUAAGACAAGCAGUAACUGGAGAGCUAACAUCAUUGUAGAAUUGAUGCAAAAGCAAAUUAUGUGUCUUCAUCCUUUGUCACUGAGAUGUCAAAAUGGCUGAUCCACUGUGCAACGCUGGUAAUGGUUUAUUGUUUCUUGUUUCUUGUUAUGGCUCUCUAAACAUUUUCUACUAUACCAACAUGGAGAAUUUGUCCAACAAUCAAGAGCUUCUUUAGUCGGUGAUCAGCUCUUUUAUUCUGCUGACCUUAAUGGAGUGUUUCAGCGUGAUAUGGUAAGGAGAAAUUAGAUGCCAGUCACUCUUAGGGGUUAAAGGGUUACAAACCUGAAUCAAUCUGUAGCUCGUACAACGGAGGGAUAAAUCAGCAAGGCUGGAUUCUAUUAUUUAUUCUCGCACUAAAUGUAUGUUAAGGUUUUCAUGUCUAACUUUUGUUGGUAAUUUUUGUGUUGGCAGGAUCACUUAGGAGAUCUGUGUAAAGCGAUCAGAAACAAAGAUGCUGAUUUGGCUCGGUGCUGGAGUAAAAGUGAACAGUGGUGUACUGUUACAUAGCUUAGGGAAGCAGCAAAUGACCCCUCACCAGAGCCACGAGGAUCAGGGGACGUCGACACUACACGAGAACGCGGGAACUGUGAAAUGUGUAGCUUACCUCAACACUGAGAAAAGUGAUUAAAAGUUUGUUGGACAUUAUUAUUGAUAAAAGUCAAGGUGAAGCUGCAGGACAGACAACAAAGCACAGAAUUUAGAUAAAUGUCCAGUUCGGCUCUGCUGAACAUAUUUUGGCUUUUUGAGAAGUUCCGCUAAGAACGUUUUUAUUUCAUCGCCAGCGGAAUCGCUAACGGAACCAUUGAAAAUGCAUCCCUACCUCUCUUCACCAUAUUUAGCUAAAAAAAAUUUAAAGAUUUCUGAUACCAAGACGCGAAACAGCGCGUGCUGAAACCAAUGGAGAUAUUUUUGUUGUUGAUCUACUGGUGUGGUGUUUUAUAUAGUGACUGAAAGGGUGUGACAGAGAUGUUUUGUGGAUGCAAAUAAA
Molecule: non-coding RNA, 1106 nt
Organism: Pocillopora verrucosa
Lineage: Eukaryota; Metazoa; Cnidaria; Anthozoa; Scleractinia; Pocilloporidae
Source: RefSeq, a predicted model, not a curated record